RNAcentral lists this ribosomal RNA (677 nucleotides) under Enterobacteriaceae bacterium HFH0016. Its description in RNAcentral is "bacterial SSU rRNA". It matches the Rfam family "Bacterial small subunit ribosomal RNA", at positions 78 to 748 of the family's 1533-position model. Lineage: Bacteria; Pseudomonadati; Pseudomonadota; Gammaproteobacteria; Enterobacterales; Enterobacteriaceae. The record is from RNAcentral.
GCUUGCUGCUUCGCUGACGAGUGGCGGACGGGUGAGUAAUGUCUGGGAAACUGCCUGAUGGAGGGGGAUAACUACUGGAAACGGUAGCUAAUACCGCAUAACGUCGCAAGACCAAAGAGGGGGACCUUCGGGCCUCUUGCCAUCGGAUGUGCCCAGAUGGGAUUAGCUAGUAGGUGGGGUAACGGCUCACCUAGGCGACGAUCCCUAGCUGGUCUGAGAGGAUGACCAGCCACACUGGAACUGAGACACGGUCCAGACUCCUACGGGAGGCAGCAGUGGGGAAUAUUGCACAAUGGGCGCAAGCCUGAUGCAGCCAUGCCGCGUGUAUGAAGAAGGCCUUCGGGUUGUAAAGUACUUUCAGCGGGGAGGAAGGGAGUAAAGUUAAUACCUUUGCUCAUUGACGUUACCCGCAGAAGAAGCACCGGCUAACUCCGUGCCAGCAGCCGCGGUAAUACGGAGGGUGCAAGCGUUAAUCGGAAUUACUGGGCGUAAAGCGCACGCAGGCGGUUUGUUAAGUCAGAUGUGAAAUCCCCGGGCUCAACCUGGGAACUGCAUCUGAUACUGGCAAGCUUGAGUCUCGUAGAGGGGGGUAGAAUUCCAGGUGUAGCGGUGAAAUGCGUAGAGAUCUGGAGGAAUACCGGUGGCGAAGGCGGCCCCCUGGACGAAGACUGACGCUC